CCUACGGGUGGCAGCAGUGAGGAAUAUUGGUCAAUGGACGGAAGUCUGAACCAGCCAUGUCGCGUGCAGGAAGACGGCUCUAUGAGUUGUAAACUGCUUUUGUACAAGGGUAAAGCUGAACACGUGUAGUCAGUUGUAAGUACUUUACGAAUAAGGAUCGGCUAAAUCCGUGCCAGCAGCCGCGGUAAUACGGAGGAUCCAAGCGUUAUCCGGAUUUAUUGGGUUUAAAGGGUGCGUAGGCGGUUUGAUAAGUUUGGGGGGAAAUGUCCGGGCUUAACUCGGAAAGUGCCGUUGAAACUGUUGGACUAGAGAAUGGGUACGGUAGACGGAAUGUGUGGUGUAGCGGUGAAAUGCUUAGAGAUCAUGCAGAACACCGAUUGCGAAGGCAGCUUACC
RNAcentral lists this ribosomal RNA (395 nucleotides) under uncultured bacterium. RNAcentral's name for it is "partial 16S ribosomal RNA". It matches the Rfam family "Bacterial small subunit ribosomal RNA", at positions 338 to 730 of the family's 1533-position model. The record is from RNAcentral.